This 1580-nucleotide long non-coding RNA is filed under the name Nicotiana tabacum (common tobacco). Its description in RNAcentral is "long non-coding RNA (NTAB_LNC001360)". The record is from RNAcentral. Lineage: Eukaryota; Viridiplantae; Streptophyta; Magnoliopsida; Solanales; Solanaceae.
UUGUUUUCCCCCUCUGUCGUCUCUCUCACUCCACGCACAGAGAGUUUUCACUCCAUUCCCAGGUAAGUCGACCCCUCUUUCUCUCUCUCUCUCACACACUCACUCACCCGAUCGAUCUCCUCUUUUUGUUUUUGAUUUCCCAAAAAACUUCGAGUUUUAGGGAUUUUAUACUGUUUCAAACCCUAGGUUUAAAAAAUUAGUGUUUUUCUCUUGAUUUUAUAGUGUUUCAACCCACCUAAAAGGGGCUUACAGUCUUCAAGAUCCAGCAUUGAUGUAAACGCCAGUCGGGGCAAAGUUUUCGACCAUCAUUAACAUAUUAUAACCUGAGUAGUUGUUGAUAUAUUUAGCUUGACAUCUAAUAUUAUUGAAAAAGUAUGCUAUACUGUAAGUCUUUUUAUUUUUUUAUUUUUUUAUUUAUGAAAUAGAUCUCUGCUGUUAGAGUAUGUGGUUUUGAUAUUUGUGUCUUGUGUGUGUUAGUGAAUUAAGUGAUGGGUGAGGAUUUGGUAGAGUAAUAAUUAUUCCUGUUUGUCUUUAAUGGAGUACUCAUUCCAUUGAUGAUCUUGAAAGUUUGGUAAAUGGUUAACUCAAAGGCUUUUUAUAAGUCUUCUAAUAUUGACUAUGGUAGGGCCUUCCUUAUAGAGUGAAGAUUACUUUGAACACAUUGAAAUUUGCUUAGAUGAGUUUCUUGUUUAUGUACGAUAAAUAUGUAUAGUUUUUCUGUAAGUUCUUAAGCAUUUGUAAUCACUACUGUUAAUCUCUUUUCUGAAUGAAGGCGUGUUUUGCUUUCUAGUCACAUUUCUCUUACUUCUUUCCUAUGAAGGGAAAUUAAUUGGUUGAAAAUGAAUAAUGUUGUUUCCUGCUGUAUGCAGAAUUAUGGCACUACUUUGGCACUCUUCAAAUGGACCUAAAGUUAUCACAACAAUUAUUGCCUAAGUAUGACCAUCCAUAACUUUACUCAAGACCAGUCCCUUAUUCACAUCCAUUUCAAAUAUCUUAGGUGCUUAUGCCUCAUUCACUUAUCUUAUGUUGCUAUAUAAGUAAUUGUUACUUAUCAUUUGUUGAGAUUAUUUAUUAUUUCAUUCUUUCAUACUUGUAUUUUGUAUUAGCCAUUAGGUAAUUAGUUAGUGUUAGUAAUUGUACAACUACUAUGAAUAGGACAUUAACUUUGUAUUUCUUUUUUUUUUCUAUGAGUAACAAUAAUCAGAUUAGCUCCUUCUUUCUAGAAGGUUCAUUUCUCUGUCUGCCUCUCUCUCUCUCUGGUUGUGCGAUCUGAUCUGCCAUUAGAGCUCAAACUGAGCUCACCUCUUCCUCUUCGACUAUCCCCUAACUUUCACAUGGUAUCAGAGUGGGAUAACAACCUGAAGUCUCAUCUCCUUUCGAUUUUUCAUUCUUCUACUCACAAAUUCAGGAAUUCACUCGUUUUUGGAAAUUAGGGUUCCUGUGUGGAAAUCGAUCAAUUAGUCAGUUAUUCCUAGCAAUUCAUCUUCACCGAUAACCAUUUCAUCCGAGUCAAUUCGAAUCAUGGUCGGAGAAGACGAAGCCCCAACAACCCUAGCGACGAACAAAACCCUAGAUUCAAU